UGGGGAAUAUUGGACAAUGGGCGGAAGCCUGAUCCAGCCAUGCCGCGUGUGUGAAGAAGGCCUUUUGGUUGUAAAGCACUUUAAGCGAGGAGGAGGCUACUUGGAUUAAUACUCUAGGAUAGUGGACGUUACUCGCAGAAUAAGCACCGGCUAACUCUGUGCCAGCAGCCGCGGUAAUACAGAGGGUGCGAGCGUUAAUCGGAUUUACUGGGCGUAAAGCGUGCGUAGGCGGCUUCUUAAGUCGGAUGUGAAAUCCCCGAGCUUAACUUAGGAAUUGCAUUCGAUACUGGGAAGCUAGAGUAUGGGAGAGGAUGGUAGAAUUCCAGGUGUAGCGGUGAAAUGCGUAGAGAUCUGGAGGAAUACCGAUGGCGAAGGCAGCCAUCUGGCCUAAUACUGACGCUGAGGUACGAAAGCAUGGGGAGCAAACAGG
Molecule: ribosomal RNA, 430 nt
Filed under: bacterium
Lineage: Bacteria
Description: partial 16S ribosomal RNA
Rfam family: Bacterial small subunit ribosomal RNA
Source: RNAcentral